GGUAAAAUGGCUGAGUAAAGCAUUAGACUGUAAAUCUAAAGACAGAGGUUUGACUCCUCUUUUUACCA
Molecule: transfer RNA, 68 nt
Filed under: Bison bonasus (European bison)
Lineage: Eukaryota; Metazoa; Chordata; Mammalia; Artiodactyla; Bovidae
Also listed under: 4 other names
Description: tRNA-Tyr
Rfam family: tRNA
About the family: Transfer RNA (tRNA) molecules are approximately 80 nucleotides in length. Their secondary structure includes four short double-helical elements and three loops (D, anti-codon, and T loops).
Source: RNAcentral